Molecule: long non-coding RNA, 934 nt
Organism: Xenopus laevis (African clawed frog)
Lineage: Eukaryota; Metazoa; Chordata; Amphibia; Anura; Pipidae
Exons: 2
Source: RefSeq, a predicted model, not a curated record
GGCAAGAGGGGGCAGUGCCCCCCCCUGGGACCAGGCCCGGACUGACCAUCUGUUUAUUUGCCCUAGGGGCCGCUCUGUAUUUUUGUAAAGUCAGCCGCUCCUGAUCUAUAAUGUUUAUUUCAAACUGUGGGCUCUAGGACUGCUCCUCCGUCCCAGCUCCCACUGUGGCUCCGCCCCUUCCACUCGUCUCCGUUCUCAUGCUGUGCUGUGUGCAGGCCUGCCUGCCUGCCAUCAGGGGGGAACAAGGAAGAAAGGAAGUACAGGAACUGAUGUGGUAGAUCUCUAAGAGCUGUGCAGCAAGAACUCAUCAGGAUAUCUGCUGGAAGAGAUCCGGUCAUCGCUGAGAUGGAGGUGAAUGCGGCCCAAGGGGUGAAAAUCGGAGCGACGAAGAGGAGAGCCAUGAUGCCCAGGAGGUUCCGGGAAGAGACAGAAGGCUCGGCAGGGGACAUCGCUAGGCCCAAGAAGAGGGUAAGUUGUUCCAUGCAGGUCAGGAGUCAGUCAGCGAGAGGUGGAUGCGGCAGAAGAGACGUCGUCGUCGGCGAAGAGGAGGAAGCACAAAUGGUACCCCUCCCCCCUUUUCCAUUGGGUGGCGGCAGUGCGGCUCCAGGAGAAAAGACGGUUACAGUGCAGGCCUACCCUUUGGAGAGUCACUAGUGUGGAGCAGACUUUGACUGCACGGUCUUGUCUGAGUCAUGCAAGGGGCUGGGGUUAGCGCCAGUUAUGCACACGGUUGGGAGCAGGAGGAUGGGCGACUGAUUGGUCACAGAGGGCGCUUGGCCCCAUGAUCCCUGCUCCCUGUGGUUGUCUAUUACGGUGUGGGCACAAUGCCCAGGUUGGUGAUAGGAGCCGCAGCUGGGGGUCAGGGGGUACCUAGUCCUUUUUUAGCAAAAAGUAAUAAAUAAAGAAAGUGACUUCCACACAUAUUUUGCACCAA